This 22-nucleotide microRNA is filed under the name Daphnia magna. Its description in RNAcentral is "Dma-Mir-33_3p (mature (guide))". Lineage: Eukaryota; Metazoa; Arthropoda; Branchiopoda; Diplostraca; Daphniidae. The record is from RNAcentral.
CAAUGCUUCGGCAGUGCAACGC